This 231-nucleotide ribosomal RNA is filed under the name uncultured Sphingobacteriales bacterium. Its description in RNAcentral is "partial 16S ribosomal RNA". It matches the Rfam family "Bacterial small subunit ribosomal RNA", at positions 1152 to 1382 of the family's 1533-position model. The record is from RNAcentral. Lineage: Bacteria; Pseudomonadati; Bacteroidota; Sphingobacteriia; Sphingobacteriales.
CCUACGCAAGUAGUGAGGAAGGUGGGGAUGACGUCAAAUCAGCACGGCCCUUACGUCCAGGGCUACACACGUGCUACAAUGGCCGGUACAAAGGGCAGCUACCUGGUGACAGGAUGCUAAUCUCAAAAGCCGGUCUCAGUUCGGAUCGGAGUCUGCAACCCGACUCCGUGAAGCUGGAAUCGCUAGUAGUCGCGCAUCAGCCAUGGCGCGGUGAAUACGUUCCCGGGCCUU